This 763-nucleotide ribosomal RNA is filed under the name uncultured Prevotella sp. Its description in RNAcentral is "bacterial SSU rRNA". It matches the Rfam family "Bacterial small subunit ribosomal RNA", at positions 28 to 776 of the family's 1533-position model. Lineage: Bacteria; Pseudomonadati; Bacteroidota; Bacteroidia; Bacteroidales; Prevotellaceae. The record is from RNAcentral.
GAUGAACGCUAGCUAUAGGCUUAACACAUGCAAGUCGAGGGGAAACGGCAUUAUGUGCUUGCACAUUCUGGACGUCGACCGGCGCACGGGUGAGUAUCGCGUAUCCAACCUUCCCUCCACUCGGGGAUACCCCGUUGAAAGACGGCCUAAUACCCGAUGUUGUCCACAUAUGGCAUCUGACGUGGACCAAAGAUUCAUCGGUGGAGGAUGGGGAUGCGUCUGAUUAGCUUGUUGGUGCGGGUAACGGCCCACCAAGGCGACGAUCAGUAGGGGUUCUGAGAGGAAGGUCCCCCACAUUGGAACUGAGACACGGUCCAAACUCCUACGGGAGGCAGCAGUGAGGAAUAUUGGUCAAUGGACGGAAGUCUGAACCAGCCAAGUAGCGUGCAGGAUUGACGGCCCUAUGGGUUGUAAACUGCUUUUGUUGGGGAGUAAAGUGAGGCACGCGUGCCUUUUUGCAUUUACCCUUCGAAUAAGGACCGGCUAAUUCCGUGCCAGCAGCCGCGGUAAUACGGAAGGUCCAGGCGUUAUCCGGAUUUAUUGGGUUUAAAGGGAGUGUAGGCGGUCUGUUAAGCGUGUUGUGAAAUUUAGGUGCUCAACAUCUACCUUGCAGCGCGAACUGGCGGACUUGAGUGCACGCAACGUAUGCGGAAUUCAUGGUGUAGCGGUGAAAUGCUUAGAUAUCAUGACGAACUCCGAUUGCGAAGGCAGCGUACGGGAGUGUUACUGACGCUUAAGCUCGAAGGUGCGGGUAUCGAACAGG